This 464-nucleotide ribosomal RNA is filed under the name uncultured bacterium. RNAcentral's name for it is "partial 16S ribosomal RNA". It matches the Rfam family "Bacterial small subunit ribosomal RNA", at positions 28 to 507 of the family's 1533-position model. The record is from RNAcentral.
GACGAACGCUGGCGGCGUGCUUAACACAUGCAAGUCGAACGGAAAGGCCCUGCUUGCAGGGUACUCGAGUGGCGAACGGGUGAGUACACGUGGGUGAUCUGCCCUGCACUUCGGGAUAAGCCUGGGAAACUGGGUCUAAUACCGGAUAGGAGCCAUUUUUAGUGUGAUGGUUGGAAAGUUUUUUCGGUGUAGGAUGAGCUCGCGGCCUAUCAGCUUGUUGGUGGGGUAAUGGCCUACCAAGGCGGCGACGGGUAGCCGGCCUGAGAGGGUGGACGGCCACAUUGGGACUGAGAUACGGCCCAGACUCCUACGGGAGGCAGCAGUGGGGAAUAUUGCACAAUGGGCGCAAGCCUGAUGCAGCGACGCCGCGUGGGGGAUGACGGCCUUCGGGUUGUAAACUCCUUUCGCUAGGGACGAAGCUUUUUGUGACGGUACCUAGAUAAGAAGCACCGGCUAACUACGUG